Molecule: ribosomal RNA, 595 nt
Filed under: Verrucomicrobia bacterium MS-B-22
Lineage: Bacteria; Pseudomonadati; Verrucomicrobiota
Description: bacterial SSU rRNA
Rfam family: Bacterial small subunit ribosomal RNA
Source: RNAcentral
CGAGAAAUCGGAGCUAAUACCGGAUGUGAUCUGACAGGGACAUCCCUGUUUCUUUAAAGCUAGGGACCUUCGGGCCUGGCGCUUUACGAUGAGCCCGCGUCCUAUCAGCUUGUUGGUGAGGUAACGGCUCACCAAGGCAAAGACGGGUAGCCGGUCUGAGAGGAUGAUCGGCCACACUGGAACUGAGACACGGUCCAGACACCUACGGGUGGCAGCAGUCGAGAAUCAUUCACAAUGGGGGAAACCCUGAUGGUGCGACGCCGCGUGGGGGAUGAAGGUCUUCGGAUUGUAAACCCCUGUCAUUAGUGAACAAACCUUUCGGGUUAAUAGCCCGAAAGCUGAUAGUAGCUAAAGAGGAAGGGACGGCUAACUCCGUGCCAGCAGCCGCGGUAAUACGGAGGUCCCAAGCGUUGUUCGGAUUUACUGGGCGUAAAGGGUGCGUAGGUGGCCAGGAAAGUCUGAUGUGAAAGCCCCGAGCUCAACUCGGGAAAUGCAUUGGAUACUACUUGGCUUGAGGAUCGGAGGGGAGACUGGAAUUCUCGGUGUAGCAGUGAAAUGCGUAGAUAUCGAGAGGAACACCAGUGGCGAAGGCGAG